Molecule: ribosomal RNA, 405 nt
Filed under: uncultured bacterium
Lineage: Bacteria
Description: partial 16S ribosomal RNA
Rfam family: Bacterial small subunit ribosomal RNA
Source: RNAcentral
AUCGAACGCUGGCGGCAGGCUUAACACAUGCAAGUCGAACGAGUGGCGGACGGGUGAGUAAUGCUUUGGAACCUAGCUUAUGGAGGCGGAAAACUGUGGGAAACCUUAGCAAAUACUGCUUAACAUGGUAUGAGCCUAAGUGGGAUUAGGUAGUUGGUGAGGUAAAGGCUCACAAAGCCGACGAUGUAUAGCUGGUCUGAGAGGAUGACCAGCCACACUGGGACUGAGACACGGCCCAGACUCCUACGGGAGGCAGCAGUGGGGAAUAUUGCGCAAUGGAGGAAACCUGACGCAGCCAUGCCGCGUGAAUGAAGAAGGCCUUCGGGUUGUAAAGUUCUUUCGGUAGAGAGGCGUUAACUACAGAGGAAGCAACGGCUAACUCCGUGCCAGCCGCCGCGGUAAUUC